AUACGUAGGGUGCAAGCGUUAAUCGGAAUUACUGGGCGUAAAGCGUGCGCAGGCGGUUUUGUAAGACAGUGGUGAAAUCCCCGGGCUCAACCUGGGAACUGCCAUUGUGACUGCAAGGCUGGAGUGCGGCAGAGGGGGAUGGAAUUCCGCGUGUAGCAGUGAAAUGCGUAGAUAUGCGGAGGAACACCGAUGGCGAAGGCAUUCCCCGGGGCCUGUACUGACGCUCAUGCACGAAAGCGUGGGGAGCAACCAGGAUUAGAUACCCUGGUAGUCACGCCCUAAACGAUGUCAACUGGUUGUUGGGUCUUCAUUGACUCAGUAACGAAGCUAACGCGUGAAGUUGACCGCCUGGGGAGUACGGCCGCAAGGUUGAAACUCAAAUGAAUUGACGGGG
RNAcentral lists this ribosomal RNA (394 nucleotides) under uncultured bacterium. Its description in RNAcentral is "partial 16S ribosomal RNA". It matches the Rfam family "Bacterial small subunit ribosomal RNA", at positions 523 to 918 of the family's 1533-position model. The record is from RNAcentral.